Molecule: ribosomal RNA, 273 nt
Filed under: uncultured bacterium
Lineage: Bacteria
Description: partial 16S ribosomal RNA
Rfam family: Bacterial small subunit ribosomal RNA
Source: RNAcentral
UACGGAGGGUGCAAGCGUUACUCGGAAUCACUGGGCGUAAAGGGUGCGUAGGCGGGUUAUCAAGUCUCGAGUGAAAUCCAACGGCUUAACCGUUGAACUGCUUGGGAAACUGGUAGCCGAGAGUGAGGGAGAGGCAGAUGGAAGUGGUGGUGGAGGGGUAAAAUCCGGAGAGCGCACCAGGAAUACCCAUUGCGAAGGCGAUCUGCUGGAACUCAACUGACGCUGAGGAACGAAAUCGUGGGGAGCCAACAGGAUUAGAUACCCCCGUAGUCC